UCCACAAGGGUUGGGCCACCGGCUUCAGGUGUUACCGACUUUCAUGACUUGACGGGCGGUGUGUACAAGACCCGGGAACGUAUUCACCGCAGCGUUGCUGAUCUGCGAUUACUAGCGACUCCGACUUCAUGAGGUCGAGUUGCAGACCUCAAUCCGAACUGGGACCGGCUUUUUGGGAUUCGCUCCACCUCACGGUAUUGCAGCCCUUUGUACCGGCCAUUGUAGCAUGCGUGAAGCCCAAGACAUAAGGGGCAUGAUGAUUUGACGUCAUCCCCACCUUCCUCCGAGUUGACCCCGGCAGUAUCCCAUGAGUUCCCACCAUUACGUGCUGGCAACAUAGAACGAGGGUUGCGCUCGUUGCGGGACUUAACCCAACAUCUCACGACACGAGCUGACGACAACCAUGCACCACCUGUUCACCAGUGUCCAAAGAGUCCCGUAUUUCUACGGUGUUCUGGUGUAUGUCAAGCCUUGGUAAGGUUCUUCGCGUUGCAUCGAAUUAAUCCGCAUGCUCCGCCGCUUGUGCGGGUCCCCGUCAAUUCCUUUGAGUUUUAGCCUUGCGGCCGUACUCCCCAGGCGGGGAACUUAAUGCGUUAGCUGCGUCACGGAAACCGUGGAAUGGUCCCCACAACUAGUUCCCAACGUUUACGGGGUGGACUACCAGGGUAUCUAAGCCUGUUUGCUCCCCACCCUUUCGCUCCUCAGCGUCAGUUACGGCCCAGAGAUCUGCCUUCGCCAUCGGUGUUCCUCCUGAUAUCUGCGCAUUCCACCGCUACACCAGGAAUUCCAAUCUCCCCUACCGCACUCUAGUCUGCCCGUACCCACUGCAGGCCCGAGGUUGAGCCUCGGGAUUUCACAGCAGACGCGACAAACCGCCUACGAGCUCUUUACGCCCAAUAAUUCCGGAUAACGCUUGCGCCCUACGUAUUACCGCGGCUGCUGGCACGUAGUUAGCCGGCGCUUUUUCUGCAGGUACCGUCACUCUCGCUUCUUCCCUGCUAAAAGAGGUUUACAACCCGAAGGCCGUCAUCCCUCACGCGGCGUUGCUGCAUCAGGCUUCCGCCCAUUGUGCAAUAUUCCCCACUGCUGCCUCCCGUAGGAGUCUGGGCCGUGUCUCAGUCCCAGUGUGGCCGGUCACCCUCUCAGGCCGGCUACCCGUCGACGCCUUGGUGAGCCAUUACCUCACCAACAAGCUGAUAGGCCGCGAGCCCAUCCCAGACCGAAAAAUCUUUCCAACCCCCACCAUGCGAUGAGAGCUCAUAUCCAGUAUUAGACGCCGUUUCCAGCGCUUAUCCCAGAGUCCAGGGCAGGUUGCUCACGUGUUACUCACCCGUUCGCCACUGAUCCACCAAGCAAGCUUGGC
This 1363-nucleotide ribosomal RNA is filed under the name Actinomycetes bacterium. RNAcentral's name for it is "Actinobacteria bacterium partial 16S ribosomal RNA". Lineage: Bacteria; Bacillati; Actinomycetota; Actinomycetes. The record is from RNAcentral.